This 29-nucleotide non-coding RNA is filed under the name Rattus norvegicus (Norway rat). The record is from RNAcentral. Lineage: Eukaryota; Metazoa; Chordata; Mammalia; Rodentia; Muridae.
UCAAGGAAUAUUUGGUCUACUUAAUGAUU